Molecule: transfer RNA, 73 nt
Filed under: Felis catus (domestic cat)
Lineage: Eukaryota; Metazoa; Chordata; Mammalia; Carnivora; Felidae
Also listed under: 2 other names
Rfam family: tRNA
About the family: Transfer RNA (tRNA) molecules are approximately 80 nucleotides in length.
Source: Rfam by way of RNAcentral
GCCUGGCUGGCUCUGUCGGUAGAGUGUGCAGCUCUUGAUCUCAGGGUUGUGGGUUCAAGCCCCAUGUUGGGUG